Podarcis lilfordi (Lilford's wall lizard) is the source of this 78-nucleotide non-coding RNA. The record is from the annotation of a GenBank genome assembly. Lineage: Eukaryota; Metazoa; Chordata; Lepidosauria; Squamata; Lacertidae.
GGUAUGAGCUUUCGUGUGCAUGCACACUUAUCUGAAGAAGUAUCUGAAGAAGUGUGCAUGCACACAAAAGCUCAUACC